CUCUCUCUCUCUCUCUCUCUUUUGAAAUCUGUGGCGGCAUUCGACAACAAAUACCGCCACUGGACGCUAACUUCUACCGGACGACGGUAGCGCAGUGGUUAGCGCCUUAGGUUAGGAACGUUCGGGACCCGGGUUCGAAUCCCCGCGCCCGUAGUCUCCGAUUUUUCUUCCAUGGCACAUAAAUGA
This is a long non-coding RNA of Bombus impatiens (common eastern bumble bee), 186 nucleotides long. RefSeq lists it as uncharacterized. The record is from RefSeq and is a predicted model, not a curated record. The transcript has 3 exons. Lineage: Eukaryota; Metazoa; Arthropoda; Insecta; Hymenoptera; Apidae.